This 709-nucleotide small RNA is filed under the name Arabidopsis thaliana (thale cress). RNAcentral describes it as "ATSL279920". Lineage: Eukaryota; Viridiplantae; Streptophyta; Magnoliopsida; Brassicales; Brassicaceae. The record is from RNAcentral.
UUAAAAUCAGGUUUAAUAAGUUCAUAUAAGUAUCUAAACCAAACCUAUCCUUAUUUUAAUAUUCAAGCUCAUCUAUGAUAGUUCAGGUAAUAAGCGGCAUCUAUGAUCUUGCCUAUUAGCCUAAGAUCAAGUUCUAGUUAGCUACUCUAGAACUAGCAUUAAGAAUAAUCAAACUGAAGAACUCUAAAGAUAAUCCUAACAUGUUAUCGAUCCACUAUACCAUCUAAAUCUCUAAUGCGAAAUCCUAAACCCAACAAGUAGAUUACUCAGACAUAAUCAUAGAAACAUAAAAAACAUGUUUGAAGAAGAUUGCGUAAAGAAAUUAAAAGAAGAAUAGAGUUAAGAAAAUAUCUUCUCUCUACAGGGUUUGAAAUCUCUGAUGAACUCUCCAAAGUCUCAGGGAAUUUCAGAGCAAAAAGAUAAAAAUUAGAAUAAUUGUGUUUGUAAAAGUUUAGGUCUAAACAAUGUUCAGGAAAGCGGAAUAGGCGGUCGUCUAGGCGUUCAUGUACCGCUUCGACUUUCUUAAAAUCGGUUUUAUUAGGCGGUAGGGUAGAUUUGGCGGACUAUGCGGACAUUAAGCGGAUUAAACGGUCAUUAGGCGGGUUUAGGCGGAUCUAAAUGUGUUUCAAUAAUAUUGGAAUUUUGAAAAAUAUAUUUAAAAUUGUAUAUAAAGACACAUUUACUUUUAUUAUUUUAUUUAUCUUACUUU